UUCACACUCGUCAACAUGACAUAACCACAAAUGCAAGAUUGCUAGUUUGUCCUCAGACUGCUGGCCAAACCUCACGGUCAACUAAUGGCUGAAGUCAUGAGUUGAGUUUUGAUACUUAAAGUAUUAAGGUUUGACUCUGCUGAGAUUUCCCUUAUAUACUUGGGUAAGUUUAAUUUUUAUUUUAUUUUUGGGGGGUUAGUAUAUUCAGGUAACUUAGACUACAUAGGGCAAGAGACAAAUUAAGCUCAUUCUAUUAUUUUCCUAAUGCAUAUGCAUAUCACAAAACUGCUGCUACUGUGAAGGAUUUUCACCAUGGUAAGGAUGUUGUGAAAACCUGCUGUUGUGACAGGCCUAAUGUCCAUCACACAUCUUCAAGAGAAAAUUGAAACCACCCUUGCACUUGCCUCUGUAACUGGACAGAAUUCCCUUUUUGGCUUAUGAUGUGACUGUUAAAGGUUUAUAGUUUCCUCUUUGUAUUGGGCGGGUCAUGGCUGUUAGUUUUACGAAGGGAAAAUGUCCUUAGAAAAUGUGUGCAGUGGCCACGGGUUUUUCUCUUGUUAAGGCCGCAUACUUAAUUUAGUUUUUCUACAGGUAUCCUAAGACAGUACUCAGUAGUAAGAGACAAGACAAUAGGUGCAGUUUACUGGCUUAUGGUUAACAGGAAGAAUUUUCCGUGUUUCUGUCCUGUGUGCAGAUUCUUGCCUUGCAUCUGCCAAGCCACUAAAUAAGAGUCCCUCUGUGCUUUUAAAAUGUUCUACUUUUUCUUCAUAACUGUAUUUGCUCACCUGCUGUGAGCAUCGUGUUGUCAGACGGCACUUCAGUCUGGCUUACUGCAUGGCUUUGUUUGCUAUGGCAACCAGAUUACUACACGGUUUAGCACAAGCGAUGUUUACAAAUGUAGUUGGGAUUUUUAUGAGCCAGGACAUCUUUCAGACUACUUGGCAAGGUGGGGCCCAGCAAGAGACCUACAGCUAUGUAUGAGGGUGUAGGGAGCAGACAAGUGAACAGAAGGAGCCUCUCCUUCUCAAGGUGGGGCCUCUUGUAUGUCUCUAAUACACAUAACAAGACGCUACAACGAAGGACAUCAUCAACUGAUGACAAGAAUACAAUAUUGACACCUUCUUGGGACAAUCAGGCUUUAAUUUUGUAAAACUAUAUUCUAUAAAUGUGUAAGUAGUAAUACAACAUACUACUUUCUCAUACAGUUUCUCUCUGAUUUCUCAGACUUUUUAUCUGAUUUAGU
Molecule: long non-coding RNA, 1243 nt
Organism: Oreochromis aureus
Lineage: Eukaryota; Metazoa; Chordata; Actinopteri; Cichliformes; Cichlidae
Exons: 3
Source: RefSeq, a predicted model, not a curated record